Nycticebus coucang (slow loris) is the source of this 1269-nucleotide long non-coding RNA. RefSeq lists it as uncharacterized. The record is from RefSeq and is a predicted model, not a curated record. Lineage: Eukaryota; Metazoa; Chordata; Mammalia; Primates; Lorisidae. The transcript has 5 exons.
CACAUCAGGGGUAGGAUAAGGGGCCUUCUGUUAGAUACAGUCUGGAGGCUUGUUCCAGUGAGUAAAGAAUAGGCACACCUAAGACUUUCUAUGUCCUGCUCCUUUCCUGUUCUUUAAGGGCUUUGGGUUAGGACUGAGGAGUCACUGUCAGGUUUGGCUUCUGCCUUGGACUCAUCUUGACGAAGAACAUGGCAAAAAUCCUUGCCACAGUCCUCUUAGUAUGGAAAAGAGUUCAACCUGUGUGAUGGGAAAGAGGAGAAGAACGUCCUGAUCUUGAACGAGGCCCAGCUCAGGCUGUUUUUUCAUGAUGUUAUUGAACCCGAGGUCUGCACAGGGUGUAGAAGGAACAGAGAGACAAGGUGCUUGGAGGGAGCUGGAGAUGGGCUCCUGCAAGAGAUGACACCUGAUUUGUGUCUUCAAAGACCAGCCACAUUUUGCUAGAAGAAGAAGAUGAAAAAGGCCCAUGGAUUAGGCCUCGUGAUCCCUGUUUUGAGAUGAAGGAAGUAAGGCAUGGAGAGGUUACGUGACUUCCGUAAGAUCGGGACCCCUAUUAAAGCAGCCAGAAUGGAUUGAAUUCCUGCUGGGGGCAAGGCUUGCUAUUGAUCUUACAGACCCAUCCAGCAACACUAUAUCUUCCAUCACUUUCCUGAUGACUGGAGAAAGCAUGCUAGGCGGGAUGGGGUCAGCAGGAGAGAUCCCUGCAGCACAAGCCAAAAAGGGGGGAUAUGUGAAGAAAUAUUGAUAGACUGGGGAGAUAGGACUCCAGGCAUCUCUGGCUGGUGGGAUCUGCCUAUCAUCACUCCUAUGAGGAUACAGGGAGUCAGCGAGAGACUUCUGGACCCCAAGAGGAGGACUAAAACAGUGGAAAAACGGCAAGAGGUCGCGUGUGUUCAAUCCGUCUAAACCCGCCCGCAACUGUAAGUUCAGUAGCAGCGAGACUGCAAACCAGAAAGGCCUUACCUGUGAACUGUUUUGGUGUCCUUGGACUUGGCACUGAGUUGAACUGCCUUGGGGAGGGCCUGAGCGGGAGUGCGGAGAACUUUGGCCGUUGUCUAGGGCCCCAGUCUGAGCCGCUGAGCCAGACGGAGCUAAUAGUGUUUGGCGGUGGGUCACACGGAGCCAUUGUGAGUGAUCUGCCCCGGCAAGCUCCGCCCUCAGGGUCGCAGAGGUAGAAUCUGGUGGGAGCUGGUAACCCAGCAACCAAGUAGCCUAAGGGUGGGGGUCUGAGCCGCCUUGCAGCCCUAACCCUCAGGGGCAGAGUGAGACGGG